UGUAUUAGAACAAAAACAUUGGCAAUAAAACUUGAAAAAACUUCUUUCUCAAUCUAUUCUGGAUGAUUUUUAGUUAAUCCAGAAUGUCAACACUCAACUAGUUCUCUCCUCUUCAUUAAUCUUUUGGGUCGUUCCUGGGUCGCUAUAGUAUCCGCUGACGCAUUUUCUGGACACGGCGAGAAUCAUUUGAGUGUUAUUAUUUUGGAUUGUGGUAAUUCUUUCCUGUAGCAUCCAAGUAUCAAAGAGAAAGGGAAAUAAUUUGGGUAGUGACAUUUUGGAUUGCGCUAAUUUUUCCUUUCAUGCACUAACCAAAAAACAAAGGGAAAGGGAGAAGAAUGAGUGAAAUUUGUGUACAUUUUGGAUUACCUAAUUAUUUGCGAUUAACAAAAAAUCCACCAGAACGGGUGAAAAGUAGGAAAAUAUGUUUUGAGGUUUUAUUGCCGAUUGAUGUUUAUAAGUUUUAACUCGUAUUCGGACUUAGUAUACUGACAAGGGAACACUGCGAAUAUGACCAAAAAUUGUGUUGUAACAUACGCCAUUGUGUAGAGCAGUGUUGAUACCUACUGCCAAUUUUUGGCUUUGACCCCCAAAUUGAAAAGUUAUAGUACAUCAAAGUUUUAAACUUUCGGAACGGCUGAGUCUCCCUCAUAAAGAGAAAUUUUUCUUUUAUUAAGGAGAGAAAUAAGACUCCCAUCCUCCUUUUUUUCUUUUCCAAUGUUAGCUAAAGAAAGAGAAAAGGAGGAGAGAAAAGAAAAGAAAAAGAGGCAUCUCUGCCAUCUCCUCUUUCCUUUUUUAAUCACAUUAGCUGAAGCGCAGAGAUGCCUCUUUUCCUUUUCUUUUCUCUACUCCUCUUUCUUUAACUAAUAUUGGAAAAGAAAAAAGAGGAUGGGAGUCUUAUUUCUCUCCUUAAUAAAAGAAAAAUUUUUCUUUAUGAGGGAGACUCAGCCGCUCCAAAAGUCGAAAACUUUGAAGCCCUUUAACUUUUCGAUUUGGGGGUCGGAGUCAAGAAACUACAAUAGGUUUUCGACCAUGCUCUACUCGAUAAGCAUAAAAGAGUAUUUUCUCUUUAAUAAGAAAAGCGAGGGAAACUGAAGUCCUAUAACUUUUUAAUUUCGGCCGGUGGUAAAAGAUGACAAAAAUGAACGUAAAAGGAAUAAUAGGGAGAAGUAUUAACAUAAAUAUCAACUUUUGAUAGCUCAUUUAGAUUAUUUGGCAAUUUUUAAUUUUAAAAAAUCCUUAGUGCAUUUGUAGCUUUGUUCCCUCAAAAAUUAAAGUUGUAUAUGGAUCUUUAUUUCAGUUUUGGAUACAUACAUUAAAACUAAGGAAUUAAAUACGAAACAAACAAUAUGCAUAUAUUCAGAUUAUACGAAAAAAUACACAAUAAAUACAUAAUUAUAACAAUAACCAAAAAACGAAAAUACAUACUUAUACAAAUAUACACAACCAUAAAAUAAUAACCACAUAUGCAUAUACUGUCAGUUUUAUAUCAGAGCAGGAGAGUUUGAACAGCGAGGCUAUCAGUUUGAGGGAGAUCACACACACAAAAUACAUACAAUAUAUAAAUACAUUAUCAAUUACAUUAUUGCUUACAAAUUCAAAGACAAAUCAGCAUACAAUAUUUCAUAAAAUUAUAUAACAAUGGCUAAGCACGGUUAAAAAACAUUUACAAAAAUACAAGAAAAAUAUAAAUGCAUAUUAUUACAAUUAAUUUAAACAAAAGGAUACUACAAUGUUUGGAGAGGUCAUGCCGGUUUUUUUCCAAAAAUCGUUAUAAUAAUGGCUUUGUAUUCAAAAAAUCUUAUUUUAAAUUUAGUAUGGAACACGCGUUGCUCAAAUAUUUUAAAAAUUCACAUUAAAUCAUGCUGUGCGAAGGGGUCAUGCCCAAAUUUUUCAAAAAUGUUUCAAUAAUUCAUUACUAUUAAAUAACUAAUACUAUUUAAACAACCACUUUUACUAAUUCUACGGCCACUUUUUGUUUUCUUUCUUGCUUAAUUCUCUUUCCUUUAUUUUUCUCAUGAUGGCGCAUAGCUUGGGUUGCAUUUGGUCCAUUUCUCUUUUCGCCUCGACUCACAUUAUAUUAGAAAAGUGGUUGUAUGUUGAGUAAAAUUAAAAAAGUGGCUGUGUGCUUGCGAAUUGUAAAAUAAAGUGGUUGUUUGCUGAGGAAAUGAAAAAGAAGAAUGUAUAGGAAAAUAAAUAACUCUCGACGUAGCAGAUCUCAAGUCCUUCCGGGCUUCUUGGUGCCUUUUGAUGCAAAUUCUUAUCAUCCAAUCAACAUGUUUAUGGUACAAUCUGAAGACUCUCUUAAGGUAGCCAAAUGCCUCGUCGGCUAACUACCGACGCGCACGAAUGGAUCAACGAGAUUCCCACUGUCCCUAUCUACUAUCUAGCGAAACCACAGCCAAGGGAACGGGCUUGGCAAAUUUAGCGGGGAAAGAAGACCCUGUUGAGCUUGACUCUAGUCUGACUUUGUGAAGAAUCAUGAGAGGUGUAGCAUAAGUGGGAGUCGCAAGACAACAGUGAAAUACCACUACUUUCAUCGAUUCCUUACUUAAUCGGUAAAACGGGAGUUGGUCUACGGACCUUCAUUUUUGUUUUAAGACUAGCCACUCGGUGGUUGGUUGACUCGCGCCGAUGACAUUGUCAGGCGGGGAGUUUGACUGGGGCGGUACAUCUGUCAAAUUGUAACGCAGGUGUCCUAAGGCGAGCUCAGAGAGGACGGAAACCUCUCGUAGAGCAAAAAGGCAAAUGCUUACUUGAUCUUGAUUUUCAGUACGAAUACAGACCGCGAAAGCGUGGCUUAUCGAUCCUUUUGAGUUUGUAAAGUUUACAGCAAGAGGUGUCAGAAAAGUUACCACAGGGAUAACUGGCUUGUGGCGGCCAAGCGUCCAUAGCGACGUCGCUUUUUGAUCCUUCGAUGUCGGCUCUUCCUAUCAUUGCGAAGCAGAAUUCGCCAAGCGUUGGAUUGUUCACCCACCAAUAGGGAACGUGAGCUGGGUUUAGACCGUCGUGAGACAGGUUAGUUUUACCCUACUAAAUACUUGUUGCUAUGAUGGUAAUCCUGCUUAGUACGAGAGGAACCGCAGGUUCAGACAUUUGGUUCAUGUGCCUGGUCGAUAGGCCAAUGGCGCGAAGCUACCAUCUGAGGGAUUAUGACUGAACGCCUCUAAGUCAGAAUCCCGCCCAGUCAUGAUAGCAAUAUAUAUCGCUCUCCGGUGUCGGAAGGCAAAAUGUAUGCCACUUUUUUUAGUGGUAGUACAAGCCCCAGUAUCUGGCAUUUUCCUUCUACUAUAAUUGGUAGUUGGUUGCUAAAAGCUUAGCACUCCUCGUGCAGGUGUAACGUCGGGGCGCAAAAUCACUUGUAUACGACUUGAAUACUGGUCAGGGGGUUGUAUCCAGUAGAGCAGCUCUUCGCUGCGAUCUGUUGAGACUUAGCCCUUGAUCGGAUGAUUUGUCUUUUUU
This 3459-nucleotide ribosomal RNA is filed under the name Meloidogyne arenaria. Its description in RNAcentral is "eukaryotic LSU rRNA". The stretch from base 2079 to 3450 matches the Rfam family "Eukaryotic large subunit ribosomal RNA", at positions 1891 to 3399 of the family's 3401-position model. The record is from RNAcentral. Lineage: Eukaryota; Metazoa; Nematoda; Chromadorea; Rhabditida; Meloidogynidae.